UGGGGAAUUUUGGACAAUGGGCGCAAGCCUGAUCCAGCCAUGCCGCGUGCGGGAAGAAGGCCUUCGGGUUGUAGACCGCUUUUGUCAGGGAAGAAAUCUUCUGAGUUAAUACCUCGGGAGGAUGACGGUACCUGAAGAAUAAGCACCGGCUAACUACGUGCCAGCAGCCGCGGUAAUACGUAGGGUGCAAGCGUUAAUCGGAAUUACUGGGCGUAAAGCGUGCGCAGGCGGUUUUGUAAGACAGAGGUGAAAUCCCCGGGCUCAACCUGGGAACUGCCUUUGUGACUGCAAGGCUUGAGUGCGGCAGAGGGGGAUGGAAUUCCGCGUGUAGCAGUGAAAUGCGUAGAUAUGCGGAGGAACACCGAUGGCGAAGGCAAUCCCCUGGGCCUGCACUGACGCUCAUGCACGAAAGCGUGGGGAGCAAACAGGAUUAGAUAGCCCUGGUAGUCCACGCCCUAAACGAUGUCAACUGGUUGUUGGGAAGGUUCCUUCUCAGUAACGUAGCUAACGCGUGAAGUUGACCGCCUGGGGAGUACGGCCGCAAGGUU
RNAcentral lists this ribosomal RNA (548 nucleotides) under uncultured bacterium. RNAcentral's name for it is "partial 16S ribosomal RNA". It matches the Rfam family "Bacterial small subunit ribosomal RNA", at positions 355 to 895 of the family's 1533-position model. The record is from RNAcentral.